This 373-nucleotide ribosomal RNA is filed under the name uncultured soil bacterium. RNAcentral describes it as "bacterial SSU rRNA". It matches the Rfam family "Bacterial small subunit ribosomal RNA", at positions 26 to 415 of the family's 1533-position model. The record is from RNAcentral.
AGAACGAACGCUGGCGGCAUGCCUAACACAUGCAAGUCGAACGAGAUCCUUCGGGGUCUAGUGGCGCCCGGGUGCGUAACGCGUGGGAAUCUGCCCUUAGGUUCGGAAUAACAGUUAGAAAUGACUGCUAAUACCGGAUAAUGACGUAAGUCCAAAGAUUUAUCGCCUAGGGAUGAGCCCGCGUAGGAUUAGCUUGUUGGUGGGGUAAAAGCUCGACCAAGGCGACGAUCCUUAGCUGGUCUGAGAGGAUGAUCAGCCACACGUGGGACUGAGACCGACGGCCCAGACCCCUAGGGAGCAGCAGGUGGGAAUAGUGGACAGUAGGGACGUAAAGCCUGAACUCCAAGGACAAGUCGGCCCGGUCGUUGGAGUU